ACGAACGCUGGCGGCGUGCCUAAUACAUGCCCGUAGAACGCUGAAGGAGGAGCUUGCUUCUCUGGAUGAGUUGCGAACGGGUGAGUAACGCGUAGGUAACCUGCCUGGUAGCGGGGGAUAACUAUUGGAAACGAUAGCUAAUACCGCAUAAGAGUAGAUGUCGCAUGACAUUUGCUUAAAAGGUGCAAUUGCAUCACUACCAGAUGGACCUGCGUUGUAUUAGCUAGUUGGUGAGGUAACGGCUCACCAAGGCAACGAUACAUAGCCGACCUGAGAGGGUGAUCGGCCACACUGGGACUGAGACACGGCCCAGACUCCUACGGGAGGCAGCAGUAGGGAAUCUUCGGCAAUGGACGGAAGUCUGACCGAGCAACGCCGCGUGAGUGAAGAAGGUUUUCGGAUCGUAAAGCUCUGUUGUAAGAGAAGAACGAGUGUGAGAGUGGAAAGUUCACACUGUGACGGUAUCUUACCAGAAAGGGACGGCUAACUACGUG
RNAcentral lists this ribosomal RNA (494 nucleotides) under uncultured bacterium. RNAcentral describes it as "partial 16S ribosomal RNA". It matches the Rfam family "Bacterial small subunit ribosomal RNA", at positions 29 to 507 of the family's 1533-position model. The record is from RNAcentral.